UAGAAAGCUAGACAAAUGUGUCAGCGGUC
This 29-nucleotide non-coding RNA is filed under the name Rattus norvegicus (Norway rat). Lineage: Eukaryota; Metazoa; Chordata; Mammalia; Rodentia; Muridae. The record is from RNAcentral.